UAGCUAGUUGGUGAGGUAAUGGCCCACCAAGGCGACGAUCGGUAGCCGGACUGAGAGGUUGAACGGCCACAUUGGGACUGAGACACGGCCCAGACUCCUACGGGAGGCAGCAGUGGGGAAUAUUGCACAAUGGGGGAAACCCUGAUGCAGCGACGCCGCGUGGAGGAAGAAGGUCUUCGGAUUGUAAACUCCUGUUGUUGGGGAAGAUAAUGACGGUACCCAACAAGGAAGUGACGGCUAACUACGCGCCAGCAGCCGCGGUAGAACGUAGGUCACAAGCGUUGUCCGGAAUUACUGGGUGUAAAGGGAGCGCAGGCGGGAAGACAAGUUGGAAGUGAAAUCUAUGGGCUCAACCCAUAAACUGCUUUCAAAACUGUUUUUCUUGAGUAGUGCAGAGGUAGGCGGAAUUCCCGGUGUAGCGGUGGAAUGCGUAGAUAUCGGGAGGAACACCAGUGGCGAAGGCGGCCUACUGGGCACCAACUGACGCUGAGGCUCGAAAGUGUGGGUAGCAAACAGGAUUAGAUACCCUGGUAGUCCACACCGUAAACGAUGAUUACUAGGUGUUGGAGGAUUGACCCCUUCAGUGCCGCAGUUAACACAAUAAGUAAUCCACCUGGGGAGUACGACCGCAAGGUUGAAACUCAAAGGAAUUGACGGGGGCCCGCACAAGCAGUGGAGUAUGUGGUUUAAUUCGACGCAACGCGAAGAACCUUACCAAGUCUUGACAUCCCUUGACAGGCAUAGAAAUAUGUUUUCUCUUCGGAGCAAGGAGACAGGUGGUGCAUGGUUGUCGUCGGCUCGUGUCGUGAGAUGUUGGGUUAAGUCCCGCAACGAGCGCAACCCUUAUGGUCAGUUACUACGCAAGAGGACUCUGGCCAGACUGCCGUUGACAAAACGGAGGAAGGUGGGGAUGACGUCAAAUCAUCAUGCCCUUUAUGACUUGGGCUACACACGUACUACAAUGGCGUUAAACAAAGAGAAGCGAGACCGCGAGGUGGAGCAAAACUCAGAAACAACGUCCCAGUUCGGACUGCAGGCUGCAACUCGCCUGCACGAAGUCGGAAUUGCUAGUAAUCGUGGAUCAGCAUGCCACGGUGAAUACGUUCCCGGGCCUUGUACACACCGCCCGUCACACCAUGAGAGCCGGGGGGACCCGAAGUCGGUAGUCUAACCGCAAGGAGGACGCCGCCGAAGGUAAAACUGGUGAUUGGGGUGAAGUCGGAACAAGGUAGCCGUAGGAGAACCUGCGGCUG
RNAcentral lists this ribosomal RNA (1253 nucleotides) under metagenome. RNAcentral describes it as "bacterial SSU rRNA". It matches the Rfam family "Bacterial small subunit ribosomal RNA", at positions 242 to 1520 of the family's 1533-position model. The record is from RNAcentral.